CACGGGGAGGUAGUGACGAAAAAUAACGAUACGGGACUCAUCCGAGGCCCCGUAAUCGGAAUGAGUACACUCUAAAGCCUUUGGCAAAAAUCAAUUGGAGGGCCAGUCUGGUGCCAGCAGCCGCGGUAAUUCCAGCUCCAAUAGCGUAUAUUAAAGUUGUUGCGGUUAAAAAGCUCGUAGUCGAAUCUGUGUCUCGCGCCGCUGGUUCACAGUCCGCUGUGUCCAACUGGCGUGCCGCGAGACGUCCUGUCGGUGGGCUCUUGAAAGUUCGCUUGCGUUCGAUCUUGGCCCUACUCGUGCGCGCUUUGCGUGUGCGAAUCCCAUCGCGGUGCUCUUUAUUGAGUGUCGAGGUGGGCCGGCACGUUUACUUUGAACAAAUUAGAGUGCUUAAAGCAGGCCAAUUUUGCCUGAAUAUUGUGUGCAUGGAAUAAUGGAAUAGGACCUCGGUUCUAUUUUGUUGGUUUUCUGAACCCCGAGGUAAUGAUUAAUAGGAACGGAUGGGGGCAUUCGUAUUGCGACGUUAGAGGUGAAAUUCUUGGAUCGUCGCAAGACGGACAGAAGCGAAAGCAUUUGCCAAAAACGUUUUCAUUGAUCAAGAACGAAAGUUAGAGGUUCGAAGGCGAUCAGAUACCGCCCUAGUUCUAACCAUAAACGAUGCCAGCUAGCGAUCCGCCGAAGUUCCUCCGAUGACUCGGCGGGCAGCUUCCGGGAAACCAAAGCUUUUGGGUUCCGGGGGAAGUAUGGUUGCAAAGCUGAAACUUAAAGGAAUUGACGGAAGGGCACCACCAGAAGUGGAGCCUGCGGCUUAAUUUGACUCAACACGGGGAAUCUCAU
This 834-nucleotide ribosomal RNA is filed under the name Amarochara sp. ZMUN 10029207. RNAcentral describes it as "bacterial SSU rRNA". It matches the Rfam family "Eukaryotic small subunit ribosomal RNA", at positions 455 to 1218 of the family's 1831-position model. The record is from RNAcentral. Lineage: Eukaryota; Metazoa; Arthropoda; Insecta; Coleoptera; Staphylinidae.